GGUAGCUGAGAAAGAGGAUCAAGAUGUGGAUGAAGAGGAGGAAAAAGCAGAGGAAAGAAGUUUUUCCUCCUCUUCAUCCACAUCUUGAUCCUCUUUCUCA
This 100-nucleotide microRNA precursor is filed under the name Brassica napus (rape). Its description in RNAcentral is "pre miRNA mir-598". RNAcentral also lists the same sequence under 1 other name. The record is from RNAcentral. Lineage: Eukaryota; Viridiplantae; Streptophyta; Magnoliopsida; Brassicales; Brassicaceae.